CUUUUUUGGGCUCAGUUGGUAGAGCAUUGGGUUUUUAACCUCAUACUCGCAGGUUCAAGUCCUGCUAUACCCC
This 73-nucleotide transfer RNA is filed under the name Hepatica maxima. Its description in RNAcentral is "Anemone maxima tRNA-Lys". The stretch from base 9 to 65 matches the Rfam family "tRNA", at positions 9 to 63 of the family's 71-position model. Rfam says of the family: Transfer RNA (tRNA) molecules are approximately 80 nucleotides in length. Lineage: Eukaryota; Viridiplantae; Streptophyta; Magnoliopsida; Ranunculales; Ranunculaceae. The record is from RNAcentral.